RNAcentral lists this ribosomal RNA (498 nucleotides) under uncultured bacterium. Its description in RNAcentral is "partial 16S ribosomal RNA". It matches the Rfam family "Bacterial small subunit ribosomal RNA", at positions 30 to 523 of the family's 1533-position model. The record is from RNAcentral.
AUUGAACGCUGGCGGCAUGCCUUACACAUGCAAGUCGAACGGUAACAGGUCUUCGGAUGCUGACGAGUGGCGAACGGGUGAGUAAUACAUCGGAACGUGCCUAGUAGUGGGGGAUAACUACUCGAAAGAGUGGCUAAUACCGCAUGAGAUCUACGGAUGAAAGCAGGGGAUCGCAAGACCUUGUGCUACUAGAGCGGCCGAUGGCAGAUUAGGUAGUUGGUGGGAUAAAGGCUUACCAAGCCGACGAUCUGUAGCUGGUCUGAGAGGACGAUCAGCCACACUGGGACUGAGAAACGCCCCAGACUCCUACGGGAGGCAGCAGUGGGGAAUUUUGGACAAUGGGCGAAAGCCUGAUCCAGCAAUGCCGCGUGCAGGAUGAAGGCCUUCGGGUUGUAAACUGCUUUUGUACGGAACGAAAAGCCCCGGGUUAAUACCCUGGGGUCAUGACGGUACCGUAAGAAUAAGCACCGGCUAACUACGUGCCAGCCGCCGCAGUAA